Passer domesticus (house sparrow) is the source of this 591-nucleotide long non-coding RNA. RefSeq lists it as uncharacterized. NCBI's taxonomy places the organism in Eukaryota, Metazoa, Chordata, Aves, Passeriformes, Passeridae. The transcript is spliced from 3 exons. The record is from RefSeq and is a predicted model, not a curated record.
UCACCAGGGCCAAGUAGAGGGGCAGGAUCACCUUCCUUGGACUGCUGGCAAUGCUCUUCUGAAUGCAGCCCAGGAUGCCACAGGCCUUGGUCACCAAGAGAUCUUGUAUUAGGACCCCUACCUCCCUCUCCGCAGAGCUGCUUCCCAGCAGCUUGGGUGUGACUGCUAAGUAAGAAUAUAGAGUGGUUCACUCACCUCAGAGUUACAUUAUUUCAUAUGCUUAUGUUCAGACAGCUUCAGCUGUAUAGUAGAUGAGAAGUGAAUAACAUCCUACAGAAUCAGAGAAUCACAGAAUCACAGAAUCACAGAAUCAAUUAGGUUGGAAAAGACCUCAAAUCCAGAUUAUGACUGAACACCUGCACCUCAAUAAGUCUGGGGCACUCAGUGCCACACCCGGUACUUCCUUAAACACUUCCAGGGACAGGAAGAUUUUAAGGCUUACUCUCUGUUUGGAGUUACACAGAAAGAGUGGCUAUGGAUUAGACCUACUGCUACUACUAAUAAUUAUUAUGCUCAUGGAAAAUAACUACCCUCAGCAUUUGUAAAUAAACCUGUUCUGUUUAUUCAUUAGUAAUAAUGCAAAAGGAAAAG